This 460-nucleotide ribosomal RNA is filed under the name uncultured bacterium. Its description in RNAcentral is "partial 16S ribosomal RNA". It matches the Rfam family "Bacterial small subunit ribosomal RNA", at positions 338 to 795 of the family's 1533-position model. The record is from RNAcentral.
CCUACGGGUGGCAGCAGUGAGGAAUAUUGGUCAAUGGACGAGAGUCUGAACCAGCCAAGUAGCGUGAAGGAUGACUGCCCUAUGGGUUGUAAACUUCUUUUAUAAAGGAAUAAAACGAGGCACGUGUGCCUUUUUGCAUGUAAUUUAUGAAUAAGGAUCGGCUAACUCCGUGCCAGCAGCCCCGGUAAUACGGAGGAACCGAGCGUUAUCCGGAUUUAUUGGGUUUAAAGGGAGCGUAGAUGGGUUGUUAAGUCAGUUGGGAAAGUUUGCGGCGCAACCGUAAAAUUGCCAUUGAUACUGGCAGUCUUGAGUACAGUUGAGGUAGGCGGAAUUCGUGGUGUAGCGGUGAAAUGCUUAGAUAGCACGAAGAACCCCGAUUGCGAAGGCAGCUUACUAAACUGUGACUGACAUUGAUGCUCGAAAGUGUGGGUAUCAAACAGGAUUAGAUACCCCUGUAGUC